AUAUCAAUAAGCGGAGGAAAAGAAACUAACUAGGAUUCCCUUAGUAGCGGCGAGCGAACCGGGAUCAGCCCAACUUGUAAAUCAUUAGCCCUUGGCUAAUUGAAUUGUAGUCUCAAGAUGCGAUCUCUGCAGCUAGCAGUGCCCAAUUUUCCUUGGAAAAGGGAGUCAGAGAGGGUGAGAACCCCGUCGGCACUUGCCUGAGCUGCUCCACGAGGCGUUUUCUCAGAGUCGGGUUGCUUGGGAAUGCAGCCCUAAGUAGGUGGUAAAUCCCAUCUAAGGCUAAAUACUGACGGGAGACCGAUAGCGAACAAGUACCGUGAGGGAAAGAUGAAAAGAACUUUGAAAAGAGAGUCAAAAGUGCUUGAAAUUGUUGAGGGGGAAGGAAUUGGAAGCCGUUUCUGCGCCCGGGCUUAAAUGGGCAAUUCUGCCUUUUGUACGCCUUGGGUGCCGGUCAGCAUCGGCUACCGGACCGGGAUAAUAACUUCCAUUGGAGAGUGCAUGCCGGCCCGGUGGCCGAGGAAUUGAAAGGCGCUCUUUGAGUCCUUCGGGAACUGCGCCUUCAAGAUGCUGGCAGAAGGCCUUCAAUUCGCCCGUCUUGAAACACGGACCAAGGAGUCUAACAUGUAUGCGAGCCGGUGGGUUUAACACCCAUGAGACGCAAGUAACCUGACUGGUGGGAUGGCUUAUGCCUGCACCAUCGACCGACCAUGAUCUUCUGUGAAAGGUUUGAGUACGAGCAUACCUGUUGGGACCCGAAAGAUGGUGAACUAUGCCUGAGCAGGGCGAAGCCAGAGGAAACUCUGGUGGAGGCUCGUAGAUGUGCUGACGUGCAAAUCGCUUUUCGGACUUGGGUAUAGGGGCGAAAGACUAAUCGAACCAUCUAGUAGCUGGUUCCCUCCGAAGUUUCCCCCAGGAUAGCUGGAGCUUGAUCAGUUUUAUCGGGUAAAGCGAAUGAUUAGAGGUACCGGGGAUGAAACAUCCUCGACCUAUUCUCAAACUUUAAAUAGGUAAGACGUCUGGGUUGCUUAAUUGAACCCAGGCAUUCAAUGAGAGCUCCAAGUGGGCCAUUUUUGGUAAGCAGAACUGGCGAUGCGGGAUGAACCGAAAGCUGAGUUAAGGCGGCCCAACUGCGCGCUAACCUAGAUCCCACAAAGGGUGUUGAUUCAUAUAGACAGCAGGACGGUGGUCAUGGAAGUCGAAACCCGCUAAGGAGUGUGUAACAACUCACCUGCCGAAUGAAUUAGCCCCGAAAAUGGAUGGCGCUGAAGCGCGCGGCCUAUACUCAGCCAUGGGGACAAGUGCGAGGUCCCCAUGAGUAGGAGGGCGUGGG
Molecule: ribosomal RNA, 1330 nt
Filed under: Trebouxia asymmetrica
Lineage: Eukaryota; Viridiplantae; Chlorophyta; Trebouxiophyceae; Trebouxiales; Trebouxiaceae
Description: eukaryotic LSU rRNA
Rfam family: Eukaryotic large subunit ribosomal RNA
Source: RNAcentral